Molecule: long non-coding RNA, 232 nt
Filed under: Harpegnathos saltator (Jerdon's jumping ant)
Lineage: Eukaryota; Metazoa; Arthropoda; Insecta; Hymenoptera; Formicidae
Description: uncharacterized LOC112589002, transcript variant X1
Source: RNAcentral
GUUAAAGUUGACUGGGAUGACAGAUGGCUUUCACCAAGCGAGUGUUGUACAAUGCCUCUUGAUUUUCCUUGCCCCCGAACCAAGUCAAAAGUGGCGUCAAUGAGUCCUGGAUGCUGUCCUUGAAACACAGAUUUACAGCUUCUUUAAAGUUGAAGCCACCGAUGUAAUGGAAAUAGUUGACCUGAAACAGAAAAGACAGCAUUGUUGUAAAGUUCUAUAUGAAUAUCCUGGG